Molecule: long non-coding RNA, 369 nt
Filed under: Homo sapiens (human)
Lineage: Eukaryota; Metazoa; Chordata; Mammalia; Primates; Hominidae
Description: non-protein coding lnc-PIK3C3-4:1
Source: RNAcentral
AGAAAGCUGAUGCAAUGACCUAGGGUAAAAGUCAGAUCAAGGAACCAGAGAGACCACUUCCUCCCUUAGGUCCUGUGGCAGUUGUUCCUAUAGGUUGUGUCACCAUAGCCAUCCAUGCCAAACCUGGCUCCAAACAAAAUACUGUAACAGAUUUGACAGCACAGUUGGUAAAUGUGGCUAUUGCAGCACCUCCAUCAGUGGGGGAGGAUAAUGCUGAGCUUUGUAGCUUAUCUGUCCAAGGUCUUAGAACUCAGGAAGAGUGAUGUGGUUUUGGAUACGGGUGGUACAUCGCUGAAAAGGUAGUGAAGCUUUUGGCCUCCACAACUCCAGAAGAAAUCUUGAGGAAAUUUAAAAAGAAAGCUGAAAAAC